GACGAACGCUGGCGGCGUGCUUAACACAUGCAAGUCGAACGGAAAGGCCCUGCUUUUGUGGGGUGCUCGAGUGGCGAACGGGUGAGUAACACGUGAGUAACCUGCCCUUGACUUUGGGAUAACUUCAGGAAACUGGGGCUAAUACCGGAUAGGAGCUCCUGCUGCAUGGUGGGGGUUGGAAAGUUUCGGCGGUUGGGGCUGGACUCGCGGCUUAUCAGCUUGUUGGUGGGGUAGUGGCUUACCAAGGCUUUGACGGGUAGCCGGCCUGAGAGGGUGACCGGCGACAUUGGGCCUGAGAGACGCACCAGACUCCUACGGGAGGCAGCAGGGGGGAGUAUUGCACAAUGGGCGGGAGCCUGUGGCAACAACGCCGCGUUCGGGAUGCCGGCCUUCGGGUUGUAAACCGCUUUCGCCUGUGACGAAGCGUGAGUGACGGUAAUGGGUAAAGAAGCACCGGCUAACUACGUG
This 468-nucleotide ribosomal RNA is filed under the name uncultured bacterium. RNAcentral describes it as "partial 16S ribosomal RNA". It matches the Rfam family "Bacterial small subunit ribosomal RNA", at positions 28 to 507 of the family's 1533-position model. The record is from RNAcentral.